This 79-nucleotide transfer RNA is filed under the name Comamonas thiooxydans. Its description in RNAcentral is "tRNA-Ser". The record is from RNAcentral. Lineage: Bacteria; Pseudomonadati; Pseudomonadota; Betaproteobacteria; Burkholderiales; Comamonadaceae.
UGGCGCAGCAGGGCGGCAUCGACCUUGCAGCGCUCGAGCCGCUGCAGCUCCCCCCGGUGCCGGUGGCCGCGUGCACCAA